RNAcentral lists this transfer RNA (192 nucleotides) under Chitinophaga pinensis DSM 2588. Its description in RNAcentral is "tRNA-Und (NNN) (tRNA-Und-NNN-1-1)". Lineage: Bacteria; Pseudomonadati; Bacteroidota; Chitinophagia; Chitinophagales; Chitinophagaceae. The record is from RNAcentral.
GGCCCUGUAGCUUAAGCGGAAAAAGCCCGUGGAAAAAUAUUACCAUGGAGUGUACGGAUCAUACCGUUGCCGGUACGCCUGGCAAUGGUCAGAAUUUACAGUGCACCGAAAUCUGAAGUAUCGAAAGUAGGGAUGCGUAUUUACAGUCGUACUGCCUGAAGGGGAAUGCAGGUUCGAGUCCUGCCAGGGCUA